Molecule: non-coding RNA, 748 nt
Organism: Lolium perenne
Lineage: Eukaryota; Viridiplantae; Streptophyta; Magnoliopsida; Poales; Poaceae
Source: RefSeq, a predicted model, not a curated record
CUGCAGCGUGCGGCAAUGAUUCGUUCUCCAGCCUGUACAAGAACACCAUGAACAUGAGGAAGACCUCCAGGCGUCUACCGUGGUGAUGCAUCAGGACAGGGAAAGACACAGAAGUUUGAUGUGAACAGCUCUAAGGAAGCAUGAUAGGUCUCAAAGCAUUGUGAUGUCUGUCUAUUCUGCUACUGUCACUUGUGAUGUCGGUCUAUUCUGCUAAACAGAACGCGGUGAUCGAGUCGCUCUUGAACGUGGAGAAACAUUUAACUGCUUGAGGUUAUUUUCUCGUGGUCUCCAUUUAACUGCUUCAGAUUCUUGAAUGGCUUGGAACACAACAUUGGUGGGACUUUAGUGAGAUGUACUUUUUGAUGCUUGUCACGGCUCACGGAAAAUAGGGAGAUUUGAGCAAGGUGGAAAGUGUACUGGUGCACAUGAGCAAGAAAGGUUACCAGCCAACUGUGGCAUCUUAGACUCGUCUGAUGGAAGCAUAAGGAAGAACCAAGCAGUACCAAAUGCCAAUGAUGUAUUUCAUAAGAUGCAGACAUCAGGCCAUGAAUCAUUGCCAAGAACAUAUCAAAUAAUUUUGAAAUCACUUGUCGAGUCAGGACUAACUAUUUGCUUAGUGACAUUUACUUUGGAUGAUUAUGUGUUUUUUAAUGUGCUUGCCAUGAACGAAGAUAGGUCUUCAUCGGAUGAUUAUGUGUUUUUUUUAAUUUAUGCUAUUUCUCGGAACCUUUUUCAAGAUUAUGUACCC